GUUAUAAAUAGAUACGUUCUUUCACUCGUCCCGAUAUCAACAAACCAAACCCAAUUACCGAUAGCCUAACUCCCUACCCAAACAUCGCCGUCCUUCGCCGGAGAUUAUACAGAACCAUCGUUUCAGAAUCAGAUACACAUAGCCUUGUUUGUUUCACUCUUCCACCUGUUAUCAAAAAACCCAAACACUCCAUGAAAUUAUCAACAUCGCUAGAAAUGGUUUUGCAAACAUCACAGAAACACUCUAUGAAAUGUGUGGUACAACAUUUAGGAGUUGAUCUAAUAGAUUAGAUAGCAAAAUGUUGUAUUCGUAUUUUUUAUAAUCCAGAUAAAUGCGAUCUUGUUGCAUCUGCUACAUGCAACAAGAUAACAUGUAUCUAGCACAUGCAACAAGGUCACAUUUAUCAGGAUUAUAUACAAUCUGAAUGCAAUGUAUUGCUAUCUACUCUAUUAUAUCACCUCCUAAAACUCUAUGCACUACAAAACUUUGCUACAACCAUAUCAAAUCCUGGAAUCCUGUUUAAACAGCUUUGGUGUAUAAAGUGCGUAUGAUUUCAACACAAAAGGCUUCAGAGACUAACCAAACCAAACUGUUAUUGGUUGUGACAAGGUGCUUUUGAAAAGAAAAAAAACACCAUGAUGGAUUCACAUUGUAAAAAAAAAUCAACACCAUUAGCACUCACAUACCCUAAACAAAUCCACUUUAGUUGUUGAAGUUCACAUGAUGAUUUUGUUUCUUUCCAAUACCUUGCUCUCAUCGGUUGCAAACUCUUUUGAAGAAGACAUGUCGAAUUCAGAAGAAGAAGAGUGUUUUCUUGGGAAAAGCUGGUAAAUAUAGGUUAGUAAUUGAAUGUGUAAAUCAUAGCCAUUAUUACUAGGUUAUCAUUGUAUGUAGGGGUUUUAUUCCUCGGUUUAAUCGGUUAUCAGUUAAUUCAUUUGGUUUGGUGUAAUCGUUUUUUCACCUAUAAAAUAUUAACCAAAACUGAAGAAAAUAAGGUUUGGGUAAA
Molecule: long non-coding RNA, 1006 nt
Organism: Lactuca sativa (garden lettuce)
Lineage: Eukaryota; Viridiplantae; Streptophyta; Magnoliopsida; Asterales; Asteraceae
Source: RefSeq, a predicted model, not a curated record